AUACUCUGGUUUCUCUUUGGCUCAUAUAAAUCUUUUGUCUUUUACUAAAGAUUUCUGUGGUGAGGAAAAAUUCUGAGUCUUAACUCAGUUUUUUGAGCCUUUGCAUCUGCAAGGCU
Molecule: small nuclear RNA, 116 nt
Filed under: Carlito syrichta (Philippine tarsier)
Lineage: Eukaryota; Metazoa; Chordata; Mammalia; Primates; Tarsiidae
Description: U5 spliceosomal RNA (ENSTSYG00000035623.1)
Rfam family: U5 spliceosomal RNA
About the family: U5 RNA is a component of both types of known spliceosome.
Source: Rfam by way of RNAcentral